AUGCUCCCUUUGACAAUAACUUCAACUUGAGGGGUGGGCUGAAAAAAUAGCGACAGCUCAUUUCCUUAAACAUGGCCAGCUACCCCAGUACAUUAAAUACAGCCGUCUCUUUCUCAACUCUUAUUUACGAAUCUAAAUUAAUCAAUUGACUGAAAAAUGCUUAAUCUGUUCUUUUGCUCAUUGACCUUCUAAAUGAUACACCAGAUUUUACAGGGUUAACCCAUACUAAUUUUGCUGAGUCAGUCUCCCUACUGCUACUAACAUUAUUACUACUACCUAAAUUUCUACAUUGUUUACUCGAGUCACAAGGCAGAAAAUGAUCACCUUCCUUGGCUGCCAAAUCCACCACCCUACUACUCCCACUAGGUACCCUAUCCCAAUCGCCACCCUCCAUUGCUGAAUCUGCAAAAUCAGUUCGAGACCUGCUUGUCUCUGGUGAAUGCCUCGAGCACAAGGGGGAAGAAGAAGAGGAUGAACAAGUGUCAGAAUCAGAUGUGUUCCUCCAAGAGUUGUUCCAGCCACCAAAAAUGUAAUCUGAAAGAUCAUCAGUACUUGUAGAAUCUCGGGUGCUCUCAGUGCUGCAUGAACCCUCGUCUGAAUUGCUGCUGGUAAAAGAAUAAUUGUCGCUUGAUGAGUCCUCUUCUAAAAUCCUUUGAAGUCGGUGGAAUUUCAGAUAGAAAGAUUCAACGCUAGCCAAACUAUCUGGAGGAAUCGAAUUGGGAUGCAACUGGAAAACACUAGAACGAGUAGAUGUGGAUCUUGAAUUCAAUGCAGCAUUCUUCUCAAUGAUUCUGGAUGGACUGCCUUUCAUUCUUGGAUCAGGAGAUACUAUUCUGUUCCUUAUCAAUCUCGGAGCCCUGGGUGAGCACCUUGCAUAAAGAAGCAUGUA
Molecule: unclassified non-coding RNA, 889 nt
Filed under: Hevea brasiliensis (rubber tree)
Lineage: Eukaryota; Viridiplantae; Streptophyta; Magnoliopsida; Malpighiales; Euphorbiaceae
Source: RNAcentral